Molecule: transfer RNA, 63 nt
Filed under: Haemaphysalis hystricis
Lineage: Eukaryota; Metazoa; Arthropoda; Arachnida; Ixodida; Ixodidae
Description: tRNA-Ala
Source: RNAcentral
AGAAAAGUAUUUAAAAUUUAAUAAAAUCUAAUUUGCAAUUAGAAAUUGUGGGAACCUUUUCUA